GCUUGCUCCUUGAUUCAGCGGCGGACGGGUGAGUAAUGCCUAGGAAUCUGCCUGGUAGUGGGGGACAACGUUUCGAAAGGAACGCUAAUACCGCAUACGUCCUACGGGAGAAAGCAGGGGACCUUCGGGCCUUGCGCUAUCAGAUGAGCCUAGGUCGGAUUAGCUAGUUGGUGAGGUAAUGGCUCACCAAGGCGACGAUCCGUAACUGGUCUGAGAGGAUGAUCAGUCACACUGGAACUGAGACACGGUCCAGACUCCUACGGGAGGCAGCAGUGGGGAAUAUUGGACAAUGGGCGAAAGCCUGAUCCAGCCAUGCCGCGUGUGUGAAGAAGGUCUUCGGAUUGUAAAGCACUUUAAGUUGGGAGGAAGGGCAGUAAGUUAAUACCUUGCUGUUUUGACGUUACCGACAGAAUAAGCACCGGCUAACUCUGUGCCAGCAGCCGCGGUAAUACAGAGGGUGCAAGCGUUAAUCGGAAUUACUGGGCGUAAAGCGCGCGUAGGUGGUUUG
This 508-nucleotide ribosomal RNA is filed under the name Pseudomonas taiwanensis. Its description in RNAcentral is "bacterial SSU rRNA". It matches the Rfam family "Bacterial small subunit ribosomal RNA", at positions 78 to 582 of the family's 1533-position model. Lineage: Bacteria; Pseudomonadati; Pseudomonadota; Gammaproteobacteria; Pseudomonadales; Pseudomonadaceae. The record is from RNAcentral.